AGUGAACGCUGGCGGUAGGCCUAACACAUGCAAGUCGAACGGCAGCACAGUAAGAGCUUGCUCUUACGGGUGGCGAGUGGCGGACGGGUGAGGAAUACAUCGGAAUCUACUUUUUCGUGGGGGAUAACGGAGGGAAACUUACGCUAAUACCGCAUACGACCUACGGGUGAAAGCAGUGGAGCUUCGGACCUUGCGCGAUUGAAUGAGCCGAUGUCGGAUUAGCUAGUUGGCGGGGUAAAGGCCCACCAAGGCGACGAUCCGUAGCUGGUCUGAGAGGAUGAUCAGCCACACUGGAACUGAGACACGGUCCAGACUCCUACGGGAGGCAGCAGUGGGGAAUAUUGGACAAUGGGCGCAAGCCUGAUCCAGCCAUGCCGCGUGAGUGAAGAAGGCCUUCGGGUUGUAAAGCCCUUUUAUUGGGAAAGAAAAGCAGCAGGUUAAUACCCCGCUGUUCUGACGGUACCCAAAGAAUAAGCACCGGCUAACUUCGUG
This 492-nucleotide ribosomal RNA is filed under the name uncultured bacterium. RNAcentral's name for it is "partial 16S ribosomal RNA". It matches the Rfam family "Bacterial small subunit ribosomal RNA", at positions 29 to 507 of the family's 1533-position model. The record is from RNAcentral.